GGGAAUGUGGCUUAGUGGUAAAGUACUUGCCUAGCAUGCAUGAAGCCCUGGGUUCAAUUCCUCAAUACUA
RNAcentral lists this transfer RNA (70 nucleotides) under Dipodomys ordii (Ord's kangaroo rat). It matches the Rfam family "tRNA". Rfam says of the family: Transfer RNA (tRNA) molecules are approximately 80 nucleotides in length. Their secondary structure includes four short double-helical elements and three loops (D, anti-codon, and T loops). The record is from Rfam by way of RNAcentral. Lineage: Eukaryota; Metazoa; Chordata; Mammalia; Rodentia; Heteromyidae.